GGUGAACGCUGGCGGCGUGCCUAAUACAUGCAAGUCGAGCGAACGGACGAGAAGCUUGCUUCUCUGAUGUUAGCGGCGGACGGGUGAGUAACACGUGGAUAACCUACCUAUAAGACUGGGAUAACUUCGGGAAACCGGAGCUAAUACCGGAUAAUAUUUUGAACCGCAUGGUUCAAAAGUGAAAGACGGUCUUGCUGUCACUUAUAGAUGGAUCCGCGCUGCAUUAGCUAGUUGGUAAGGUAACGGCUUACCAAGGCAACGAUGCAUAGCCGACCUGAGAGGGUGAUCGGCCACACUGGAACUGAGACACGGUCCAGACUCCUACGGGAGGCAGCAGUAGGGAAUCUUCCGCAAUGGGCGAAAGCCUGACGGAGCAACGCCGCGUGAGUGAUGAAGGUCUUCGGAUCGCAAAACUCUGUUAUUAGGGAAGAACAUAUGUGUAAGUAACUGUGCACAUCUUGACGGUACCUAAUCAGAAAGCCACGGCUAACUACGUGCCAGCAGCCGCGGUAAUACGUAGGUGGCAAGCGUUAUCCGGAAUUAUUGGGCGUAAAGCGCGCGUAGGCGGUUUUUUAAGUCUGAUGUGAAAGCCCACGGCUCAACCGUGGAGGGUCAUUGGAAACUGGAAAACUUGAGUGCAGAAGAGGAAAGUGGAAUUCCAUGUGUAGCGGUGAAAUGCGCAGAGAUAUGGAGGAACACCAGUGGCGAAGGCGACUUUCUGGUCUGUAACUGACGCUGAUGUGCGAAAGCGUGGGGAUCAAACAGGAUUAGAUACCCUGGUAGUCCACGCCGUAAACGAUGAGUGCUAAGUGUUAGGGGGUUUCCGCCCCUUAGUGCUGCAGCUAACGCAUUAAGCACUCCGCCUGGGGAGUACGACCGCAAGGUUGAAACUCAAAGGAAUUGACGGGGACCCGCACAAGCGGUGGAGCAUGUGGUUUAAUUCGAAGCAACGCGAAGAACCUUACCAAAUCUUGACAUCCUUUGACAACUCUAGAGAUAGAGCUUUCCCCUUCGGGGGACAAAGUGACAGGUGGUGCAUGGUUGUCGUCAGCUCGUGUCGUGAGAUGUUGGGUUAAGUCCCGCAACGAGCGCAACCCUUAAGCUUAGUUGCCAUCAUUAAGUUGGGCACUCUAAGUUGACUGCCGGUGACAAACCGGAGGAAGGUGGGGAUGACGUCAAAUCAUCAUGCCCCUUAUGAUUUGGGCUACACACGUGCUACAAUGGACAAUACAAAGGGCAGCGAAACCGCGAGGUCAAGCAAAUCCCAUAAAGUUGUUCUCAGUUCGGAUUGUAGUCUGCAACUCGACUACAUGAAGCUGGAAUCGCUAGUAAUCGUAGAUCAGCAUGCUACGGUGAAUACGUUCCCGGGUCU
Molecule: ribosomal RNA, 1372 nt
Filed under: uncultured bacterium
Lineage: Bacteria
Description: bacterial SSU rRNA
Rfam family: Bacterial small subunit ribosomal RNA
Source: RNAcentral